Molecule: ribosomal RNA, 207 nt
Filed under: uncultured bacterium
Lineage: Bacteria
Description: partial 16S ribosomal RNA
Rfam family: Bacterial small subunit ribosomal RNA
Source: RNAcentral
CGUGUAGGCGGUUUGUUAAGUCUGAUGUGAAAGCCCCGGGCUCAACCUGGGAAGUGCAUUGGAUACUGGCAAACUUGAGUAUGGGAGAGGAAAGUGGAAUUCCGAGUGUAGGGGUGAAAUCCGUAGAUAUUCGGAGGAAUACCAGUGGCGAAGGCGGCUUUCUGGACCAAUACUGACGCUGAGACGCGAAAGCGUGGGGAGCAAACA